CAGUCGCCGCGGGAAUACGAAGGUCCCGAGCGUUGUUCGGAAUCACUGGGCGUAAAGGGAGCGUAGGCGGCGUGGUAAGUCAGAUGUGAAAUCCCGGGGCUCAACCCCGGAACUGCAUCCGAUACUGCCAUGCUAGAGGAUUGGAGAGGUAGCUGGAAUUCUUGGUGUAGCAGUGAAAUGCGUGGAGAUCAAGAGGAACACUCGUGGCGAAAGCGAGCUACUGGACAAUAACUGACGCUGAGGCUCGAAGGCCAGGGUAGCGAAAGGGAUUAGAUACCCCCGUAGUCUGUCUCUUAUACAC
Molecule: ribosomal RNA, 301 nt
Filed under: uncultured bacterium
Lineage: Bacteria
Description: partial 16S ribosomal RNA
Rfam family: Bacterial small subunit ribosomal RNA
Source: RNAcentral